This 253-nucleotide ribosomal RNA is filed under the name uncultured bacterium. RNAcentral describes it as "partial 16S ribosomal RNA". It matches the Rfam family "Bacterial small subunit ribosomal RNA", at positions 524 to 776 of the family's 1533-position model. The record is from RNAcentral.
UACGUAGGGGGCAAGCGUUGUCCGGAUUUAUUGGGCGUAAAGAGCGUGUAGGCGGCUAGGUAGGUCCGUUGUGAAAACUCGAGGCUCAACCUCGAGACGCCGAUGGAAACCAUCUGGCUAGAGUCCGGAAGAGGAGAGUGGAACUGCGAGUGUAGAGGUGAAAUUCGUAGAUAUUCGCAAGAACACCAGUGGCGAAGGCGGCUCACUGGCCCGGUACUGACGCUGAGGUGCGAAAGCGUGGGGAGCAAACAGG